CAGUUUUUAAAGGGUGCUCAGCUGUUCUUUCCGCUAAAUACUUCAUUUGAGUAUCUAGAAUUUCAUCGACUUCUUGAAGUGCA
This 83-nucleotide transfer RNA is filed under the name Acinetobacter baumannii BJAB07104. Its description in RNAcentral is "tRNA-Leu". The record is from RNAcentral. Lineage: Bacteria; Pseudomonadati; Pseudomonadota; Gammaproteobacteria; Moraxellales; Moraxellaceae.